Long non-coding RNA from Tachysurus fulvidraco (yellow catfish), 1798 nucleotides. RefSeq lists it as uncharacterized. The record is from RefSeq and is a predicted model, not a curated record. The transcript is spliced from 3 exons. NCBI's taxonomy places the organism in Eukaryota, Metazoa, Chordata, Actinopteri, Siluriformes, Bagridae.
AAGAACGAAUAUAAAAGCUUGGCUGUACUUUAACACCGGGGAUUUCGUGGUUUUUAGUGUUUUUGUCUUUGUGUGACAUGCAGGGCGCUUGGUAUGUUAUUGGUUGCUGUACUAGUGAUGAACCGGACUUCUGGAUGCCAUUGGUUUCGCUUCACGUCAGUCUCCUGCGCGCACUCGCCGUGCCCUGUGAACGCGCGCGGACCGCGCGCGCGCGCAGACAGCGUGCCCGAGCGGAGUCUGUCUGGAGUCUGUCUGAAACAAACUGAGCACAAAUGUCGCUGCUGGGACUUUCAGGAGACUCGGCGGAACUUUAUACACACUUUUGAUGUCUCUGAGACUUGUGUGACUGUAAACUCGUCUUUAUUUAUUGACGUUUCUUUCAGCAGACAGUUCGUUUAAAGCACAGGCUUGAAGGUCCUUCCGGAAAGUUCGGCCCCCGAAGCCGUGGCACUCGGACGCUGCUUAAACAUAUCGUGGAAAAGUUCCUGAAAGUAAUCACUUUGAAGCCUCCAGGACAAAACGCUCAAGACGUCCACAUUAUCUGCAUGUUUCACAGAGCAGCUCGACACAUUCGGCUUCGUCUUCUUACUGGUGCUUCGUUUCUGCUGCCUACAUUUUAUUCAGUGCACAACGAUUUCAGACACUAAGAACUGAACCAAAAUACAAAAGUGUCAAAUUAUGUGAAUAAAGUGAAUCAAAUGUUAACAAAAGUGUUAAGUGUGAUUGUAUCUGUCACUAAAACCCAAUAAACAUUGAUUCUCAGGCCCUGUGUGUUCUGUAUAUGUCUAUUAAAGAGGAAAGUGUAAAAACAUGCUAGUUUAGUUUUGUUCAGUUUGUUUUUUGUGUGUCAGCACAGUGUAAUAAACACUAAUGAAAGUGGUAAAUGAGGGUGCGUUUGUCUGCUAACUUAGCAAACAUGAGUGAAGUCAUAAAAUAAUCAUCAUAAUAAUAAUAAUAAUAAUAAUAAUAAUAAUAAUAAUAAUAAUAAUAAUAAUAAUAAUAAUAAACUUUUCCAUAAUAAUCAUUUUUUAGAUUAUGAUAGUUGGGGCUGUUUUUGUCCUAUAAAGAGCAAUUAAUAUCAUUAAAAGUGUUAAUAAGGUCAUAUUUGUGCUCUGUAAUAAAUACAGUGUAAUAAACAUGAAUAACUCUUCACUAUGUUUCGACAAACCUCUAAAGCUCCAUAAAUAUUAAUAACAGUGUUCAGUGAAAUCUCGUGUCCUGUGUGUCUGAAAAGUUUAAAGGAUUUACUCAAACUGUUAGUUUUUUCAAUAUGUCAUUCAAGCUUAAUAAACAUUCAUAACAGUCUUCAGUAAGAUCUCUUCUUCAUGUGUGACUAAAAAAAGAAAAAGAUAAGAAAGAGUUAAACAGGUUUUAUCUGUUCUUAAAAAGCUAACAAAGAUCCACUUUUAUUGUUAAAUGAGGGUCAUUCAUUUGUCACUAAAGCAUUAUAAAGGUUAAUAAAUGUUCAUAACUGUGUUAAGCAAGAUAUUAUUUGUCCUGGAUGUGUCAUGACUUCCUCUAUGUGUCAUUAAAUCAAAAUAAAGGUCUUGAACAUGUUUGUAUUUCUUCUUUUGAAGUGUUAAUAAAAGCACUAAAUGUCCUGAAUGUUACUAAAGCUACAUAAACGUUAAUAAAUGUUUUAAAACUGACAGCUUAUUUGUCUUGAAUGUGUUGUUAUAAAGGGACCAAACAUUAACAACAAUGUUAAAUGUUACAUCGUACAGAGUUCUUCGGGUCAUUAAAAUUGAAUAAAUGUUCGUCUUAGUUGAGGUCGUAUCCGUCACUUCAUAAACGUUAA